This 1057-nucleotide long non-coding RNA is filed under the name Felis catus (domestic cat). RNAcentral describes it as "lncRNA (ENSFCAG00000043588.2)". The record is from RNAcentral. Lineage: Eukaryota; Metazoa; Chordata; Mammalia; Carnivora; Felidae.
AAAAUGAGAAUGAAGACUUCCUUCGUCAAUAUAUCUCAGAUCAGGAUUCAGGAUAUUUCCCUUUCUUUAGAAAAUGAUUUUUAAAAAUUUUUCAUAUUUAUUUAUUUAUUUUUGAGAGAAAGAACAAGUGGAGGAACAGCAGAGAGAGAGAAAGGGAGAGAAUCCCAAGCAGGUUCUGUGUUUACAGCGCAGAGUCUCAUGCAGGGCUUGAUUUCACAAACUGUGAGAUCAUGACCUGAGCUGAAAUCAGGAGUCAGAUGCCUAACCGACUGAGCCACCCAGGUGCCCCUAGAAAAUGAUUUUAUGGUAGGAUCAUUUCUGGAAGGCUCAUCAAAGUUUAAUGUGAUAUGUUCGCUUUUACUCUAGAAGUUGGUAUUUCAACACUAUUGUGUAAUACUCGAAAAGCCCUAAAAUUUAGUCUCAGAGUAGUGUUGUGAUAAAAAACAAAAACAAGAACAAAAACAAAAAACUAUAACCUAAAAAUCAUUUCAUGAAAACUCAAGUUUUUUCCUUGAACACCAUGAAAAACAAUGAUUUUGCCCAGGUAAGUCAUGACUCAAAACUCUUUUUGCUCUCUUAAUAAUUAACUUUUGUUUCUUCACAUAAGUUUCGAGGCUGUUUAGAUGAUAAAACUCUUCUCACAGGAUUACUUCAUGUAUUGGUACACACUUAAGGAAGAAAGGAAAGAUCAUUUUCCAGUCAUGUCCUGAGAACUUGAUGGCUGGGUUGUACCAAGAACCUGAUGACUUGUUUCCUUGUUUGCAGGCUAAUUAAUUCACCAUCUUCUUGAAAACAAAUGAUGACAAACAAGCAAACAAAAAACACACAAAAACAAGCAUGCUUAAAUACUGUUUUCAUCGGAUUGCUUCUAGCUCAGAAGCCCAUGGGUGCACUUGGAUUUGCCUUGCCUUAUCUUCUGGUAAACCAGAAUAAGAACAAAUAAUCUGAACCAUCAUAAAAAGAAAGUGUCAUUAAAGGUAAUCUUUCUUUUUACUCUUUGAGACCUAUGAUUUUGACAAAAAUUGUAGUGAUGGUAAAAGUGUGGCCUAAAAUGGCU